GCACCACAUGGAACAAUCCUUACACGUUUCUCCUUUUGAGAAGGGCAGAUGAGAAUGCAAUGGCUAGGAUUGCCUCCAUCUGUGAUUAUGACUCCUGUCUAAUCAGGACUUAGAAAUCCUGAUGGCCCUUACCUGAU
This 137-nucleotide small nucleolar RNA is filed under the name Peromyscus maniculatus bairdii (prairie deer mouse). RNAcentral describes it as "U8 small nucleolar RNA (ENSPEMG00000007415.2)". Lineage: Eukaryota; Metazoa; Chordata; Mammalia; Rodentia; Cricetidae. The record is from RNAcentral.